GGCUCAGGAUGAACGCUGGCGGCGUGCUUAACACAUGCAAGUCGAACGAGCUUUAUUACUACGAUCCCUUCGGGUGACGGUUUUAAAGCGAGUGGCGGACGGGUGAGUAACGCGUGGAUAACCUGCCAUAUACUGGGGGAUAACAGCUGGAAACAGCUGCUAAUACCGCAUAAAACUGUAGAGUCGCAUGACUUUAUAGCCAAAGCUCCGGCGGUGUAUGAUGGAUCCGCGUCUGAUUAGGCAGUUGGCGGGGUAACGGCCCACCAAACCGACGAUCAGUAGCCGACCUGAGAGGGUGACCGGCCACAUUGGGACUGAGACACGGCCCAGACUCCUACGGGAGGCAGCAGUGGGGAAUAUUGCACAAUGGAGGAAACUCUGAUGCAGCGACGCCGCGUGAGCGAUGAAGUAUUUCGGUAUGUAAAGCUCUAUCAGCAGGGAAGAUAAUGACGGUACCUGACUAAGAAGCUCCGGCUAAAUACGUG
This 485-nucleotide ribosomal RNA is filed under the name uncultured bacterium. RNAcentral's name for it is "bacterial SSU rRNA". It matches the Rfam family "Bacterial small subunit ribosomal RNA", at positions 21 to 507 of the family's 1533-position model. The record is from RNAcentral.